UGUAAGCGUAUACCAAAGUUGUUGCAGUUAAAACGCUCGUAGUCGGAAUUUGGCAGUUCCGGAUGUGUGCACGUCGUGUGCGCACUUCGCGGGGAUUGCUUUUGUGGUCUUGCGUAGGAUGAGGCACUUUUAUUAGUGAACGUCCUCACGCAACCACUUUUUACUGUGAGAAAAUCAGAGUGCUCAAAGCAGGCAUUUGUCGUGAAUGUAUUAGCAUGGAAUAAUAGAAUAGGACUUGGUUCUAUUUUGUUGGUUUGUUGGGACUGAGUAAUGAUUAAGAGGGACAGUUGGGGGCAUUUGUAUUUCGGUGCUAGAGGUGAAAUUCUUAGAUUACCGAAAGACAAACUGCUGCGAAAGCGUCUACCAAGGAUGUUUUCAUUGA
RNAcentral lists this ribosomal RNA (382 nucleotides) under uncultured eukaryote. RNAcentral's name for it is "partial 18S ribosomal RNA". It matches the Rfam family "Eukaryotic small subunit ribosomal RNA", at positions 592 to 976 of the family's 1831-position model. The record is from RNAcentral.